AUAUUUUGAAGAACUGACAGAUGUCAUGGUGAAAUAUCAUCUACAAGACAAGCCUCACUUGAUUUUCAACAUUGAUGAAAAAGGGGUGACACCAAAUCACACACCACCUUCGGUAAUUGGAGUGAAAGCUGUCUUCCACGUGACUUCCGGUGAGCUCAUCAUAAUAUAUGCUAAUGAUGUCCAGCUAAAGUAGACCUCUACUUCAGCGACACAAUAUGGCGGGUGCCCGUCAACCGAUCACAUGUACUUGAAAUCUGACUCUACCAAGGUCAAUCUUCUUGGCUUUAAAUCACGUGGCAGUAUCGUGAAACAGAAAGUAGAAAUGUCUGGAGUACGUCGCUAUGCUAUUAACAAAAACAAAACCUGCUUUACUAAA
Gigantopelta aegis is the source of this 376-nucleotide long non-coding RNA. RefSeq lists it as uncharacterized. NCBI's taxonomy places the organism in Eukaryota, Metazoa, Mollusca, Gastropoda, Neomphalida, Peltospiridae. The record is from RefSeq and is a predicted model, not a curated record. The transcript has 3 exons.